UUUCCCGCCGUCGGGGAAUUGAACCCCCGUCUCCUGCGCGGGAGCCGAAAAUGGUUAAGCUUAACUUCCUUAACUUUCCCCAUUCAUUCUCAAUGGUAGUUCUUAACAGUACGGAUGUAAUAUAUUUCCUGCCACUGGUGGACAUUUGGCGCUGGUGGACAUUUGGCGCUGUCCCGAGUUUCCGUUAUUUAGGUUAGGUUAUUACAAUGGUCUUACCUGUCAACAACACUAUCGCGGACCUUCAUAUAGGAUAGGCCUACACUUUUUAGCUGGAUGGUAAAACGCGAUGCUGCUUCAAAACUGAAAUGGUACGUAGGAGAAUAUAUAGUAUUUUCGAUCGUCAAUACUAUAGAGAAUAUAUAGUAUUGACGAUCGAUUUGAUGUACAGUAGUCAUAUGCAACGUUAACGUUGUAUAUCAAUCUACUUUUGGUCCGUUCUUUGCUGUGUAUAGUACUACCAAUGUAUGUCUUUUAAUGUUUGAGCCAGUUUAACUUACUGUCUAUUACUAUCAGACAUCACAUCAAUCAAUGACAUGGUGUCAUUAAUUAUUAGUAUUAUCAUCUGUUUUGUUAUGUUUAAUUAUUUUUCUAUCCUCUUCUUUCCUUCUCUCCUACUAUUUUUCUCCAUCUUUCUAGCAGCCUUUGCACCCCUUAAAUUGUGUGCAGCUCCUGCAACUCACAGACACAAAGUAGUGUUUAUUUCAGCCAGCAUGAAAGUAAGGGUUAUUUUCCCGAGAAAGCUCAAGGUUUCUUUCCGGAGAGGGCCGACUGGGUAUUUGAGGCAAGACCCAUCAGUCGGGGCUAAGAGGAUUAAAGACCACCCUGACCUCCAGGACAAGUCAGCGGCCCAGAAUGAAGACCGGGUGAAAGACAAUGCCAGGUCUGUUGUAUUCAUGAGAGGGGGCGAUAUAUCAGACAAGCAGGAGGUGCUUGGGGAGUAUGUCCUGCAGUUUGGGAAAUACAAGGGAAAGUUAUUCCGGUGGCUUGCAGAGAAUGAUGUAGGGUACGUAAUAUACCUCAUCAAGAAGGUCAGGGAGGAGGAGAGAGCAGGCCAGUUUAAGCCAGAUGGUCCCAAGAAGGACAGCUUGUUGUCACUCCUGCAGUACAGCUACAGCUUCCAGGAGAUCAAGGACCUGCUGCUGUAUCUGGACAGUCAGGUAGUAACACCACCAGCUAAGGAUGACGAGGAUAACCUAGUUGGUUUUGGGGUUCACACGAAGAGGACGUGGAGGGAUGUUUGGAAGCGGAGAGACGAUGGAUUUUCUGCGUUUAUCCUGCGACAGCAGUGUACGCCAGGCAGCAAAAUGUUUAGGCUCCAGGACUACCUGAAGAGGCAGAGUGCUUCUGAGGGACGUGCUUCCUCUGGGCAUGCAACAUCGGCCUCUCAUUGCCCAGCUUUCACAGAAAUGGAGGAUGAUGAUGAGUUGGAGAGGAUGAUGCUCUCUAUAUCCCCAUCCAAACUCCAAGCGGAGGAAGGAGUUGAGGAAUGGGAGAGAAAGAUGCCAGCCACACCUAUUCCAGGCCAUCUUGGUGAGAACAACACACGCACACACACACACACACACACACACACACACACACACACACACACACACACACACACACACACACACACACACACAAACUGUCAAGUUAUAUUGCUGUUUAAUGUUUUGUAA
This 1658-nucleotide long non-coding RNA is filed under the name Gadus morhua (Atlantic cod). RNAcentral's name for it is "lncRNA (ENSGMOG00000027347.1)". The record is from RNAcentral. Lineage: Eukaryota; Metazoa; Chordata; Actinopteri; Gadiformes; Gadidae.